AUUGAACGCUGGCGGCAUGCUUUACACAUGCAAGUCGGACGGCAGCACAGAGAAGCUUGCUUCUUGGGUGGCGAGUGGCGAACGGGUGAGUAAUAUAUCGGAACGUACCGAGUAAUGGGGGAUAACUAAUCGAAAGAUUAGCUAAUACCGCAUAUUCUCUGAGGAGGAAAGCAGGGGCCCUUCGAGCCUUGCGUUAUUCGAGCGGCCGAUAUCUGAUUAGCUAGUUGGUGGGGUAAAGGCCUACCAAGGCGACGAUCAGUAGCGGGUCUGAGAGGAUGAUUCGCCACAAUGGGACUGGGACCGGGCCCAGGCUCCUACGGGAGGCAGCAGUGGGGAAUUUUGGACAAUGGGCGCAAGCCUGAUCCAGCCAUGCCGCGUGUCUGAAGAAGGCCUUCGGGUUGUAAAGGACUUUUGUCAGGGAAGAAAAGGCUGUUGCUAAUACCGACAGCUGAUGACGGUACCUGAAGAAUAAGCACCGGCUAACUACGUG
RNAcentral lists this ribosomal RNA (490 nucleotides) under uncultured bacterium. RNAcentral's name for it is "partial 16S ribosomal RNA". It matches the Rfam family "Bacterial small subunit ribosomal RNA", at positions 30 to 507 of the family's 1533-position model. The record is from RNAcentral.